RNAcentral lists this ribosomal RNA (468 nucleotides) under uncultured bacterium. RNAcentral's name for it is "partial 16S ribosomal RNA". It matches the Rfam family "Bacterial small subunit ribosomal RNA", at positions 28 to 507 of the family's 1533-position model. The record is from RNAcentral.
GACGAACGCUGGCGGCGUGCUUAACACAUGCAAGUCGAACGGAAAGGCCCUGCUUUUGUGGGGUGCUCGAGUGGCGAACGGGUGAGUAACACGUGAGUAACCUGCCCUUGACUUUGGGAUAACUUCAUGAAACUGGGGCUAAUACCGGAUAGGAGCUCCUGCUGCAUGGUGGGGGUUAGAAAGUUUCGGCGGUUGGGGAUGGACUCGCGGCUUAUCAGCUUGUUGGUGGGGUAGUGGCUUACCAAGGCUUUGACGGGUAGCCGGCCUGAGAGGGUGACCGGCCACAUUGGGACUGAGAUACGGCCCAGACUCCUACGGGAGGCAGCAGUGGGGAAUAUUGCACAAUGGGCGGAAGCCUGAUGCAGCAACGCCGCGUGCGGGAUGACGGCCUUCGGGUUGUAAACCGCUUUCGCCUGUGACGAAGCGUGAGUGACGGUAAUGGGUAAAGAAGCACCGGCUAACUACGUG